AUGUCAUCGGAGUGGGAACUUCGGUUCCCGCUUGCGUGCCUGCAGGCCAUCACCCGCAUCGGCUUGGACCAUGUACCCCUACUUCUUUCCUCGAGUGAUGACCGACCUCGGCUGCCCCGACGGUUCCUCUUCGUGUCCUUUUGGCUCCGACAACCUGGGUUCAUUGAGGCGGUGAACAGUCACUGUAUGGCCACGCAGUUGGAGCCACAUCGUCAGAUGUCGGUUGUGGACAAGUGGCACUUCUUGGCCAAGCAAUCUAGACAAUUCAUAAAGGGUUGAGGUGCCAGUGUGGGGUGGGACCUCAAGAUCCGGAAGGGGGGCCUUCUCGCGGAGAUUUGGGUUUUGGACCUGAUGGCCAACACCGCAGGCCUCCCGGAGGAAUGGGCUCUCCGCUAUAUCUUAGAAGACGACUUACUGGAAAUCUAUCGCAAGGAGGAGGAAUAUUGGCCCUAAUGGGGUGCCAUUAACUAGGUCCUAUUCGGGGACGCCACCACAAUGUACUUCCGAACGAUUACCAAUGGCUGGCGUCAUAGAUGUACCAUUCCCCGUCUUUGGAAAGGGGAUCGGUUGAUCCAAGAUCCGGACAAGAUUCUGACUCAUGUGGAUGGCUUUUAUAAAGCCAUGUUUGCCGCAAGAGAUCGUGGUGGCAUAGCGCUUGCCGACUCUGUCUGGGAGGGGCCCUAGCGAGUCUCGCAGGAAUAGAAUAAUGGGACGCUAUUGGCAGAAUUCUCAGAAGAAGAGGUGGCUUCCAUAAUAAAAGGGAUGAAUCCCGCGUCGGCCUAGGGACCGGAUGGUCUCCCGGUCCGGUUCUUCCAGGUGUUGUGGCAUGCUAUUAAACACCAAAUCCUUGCGUUUUUUAGGGAAUUCUCUCAAGGCGUGCUCGACCUGACCCGGUUGAACUCUGGUAUCAUCUCUCUGAUCCCUAAGGUGCCAGGGGUGUCAGACAUCCGACAAUUCUGACCUAUCAUAGUGAUCAAUGUGAUAUUUCGGAUUCUUUCUAAAGGGUACGCCAAUAGGGCGACCCUUCUAGCUUCCCAAAUCACCCACCCGAACUAGUCCGCGUUCAUUAAGGGUCGGUAUAUCUUGGAUGGGAUCCCGGUACUCCAUGAGGUUAUUCAUGAAGUCAAGAGGAACAAAGCGGUCUUCUUUUAG
Molecule: ribosomal RNA, 1152 nt
Filed under: Triticum aestivum (bread wheat)
Lineage: Eukaryota; Viridiplantae; Streptophyta; Magnoliopsida; Poales; Poaceae
Description: partial small subunit ribosomal RNA
Source: RNAcentral